RNAcentral lists this ribosomal RNA (429 nucleotides) under Verrucomicrobiota bacterium. Its description in RNAcentral is "Verrucomicrobia bacterium partial 16S ribosomal RNA". It matches the Rfam family "Bacterial small subunit ribosomal RNA", at positions 355 to 776 of the family's 1533-position model. Lineage: Bacteria; Pseudomonadati; Verrucomicrobiota. The record is from RNAcentral.
UAGGGAAUCUUCCGCAAUGGACGAAAGUCUGACGGAGCAACGCCGCGUGAGUGAAGAAGGAUUUCGGCUCUUAAAACUCUGUUGUUAGGGAAGAAAAAAUGUAUAGUAACUAUAUACAAAAGAGACGGUACCUAACCAGAAAGCCACGGCUAACUACGUGCCAGCAGCCGCGGUAAUACGUAGGUGGCAAGCGUUGUCCGGAAUUAUUGGGCGUAAAGCGCGCGCAGGUGGUUUAGAAAGUCUGAUGUGAAAGCCCACGGCUCAACCGUGGAGAGUCAUUGGAAACUAAGAAACUUGAGUGCAGGAGAGAGAGGUGGAAUUCAUAGGGUAGCGGUGAAAUGCGUAGAGAUUAGGAAGAACACCGGUGGCGAAAGCGGCUUUGUGGCCUGCAACUGACACUGAGGCGCGAAAGCGUGGGGAGCAAACAGG